RNAcentral lists this ribosomal RNA (468 nucleotides) under uncultured bacterium. RNAcentral describes it as "partial 16S ribosomal RNA". It matches the Rfam family "Bacterial small subunit ribosomal RNA", at positions 28 to 507 of the family's 1533-position model. The record is from RNAcentral.
GACGAACGCUGGCGGCGUGCUUAACACAUGCCAGUCGAACGGAAAGGCCCUGCUUUUGUGGGGUGCUCGAGUGGCGAACGGGUGAGUAACACGUGAGUAACCUGCCCUUGACUUUGGGAUAACUUCAGGAAACUGGGGCUAAUACCGGAUAGGAGCUCCUGCUGCAUGGUGGGGGUUGGUAAGUUUCGGCGGUUGGGGAUGGACUCGCGGCUUAUCAGCUUGUUGGUGGGGUAGUGGCUUACCAAGCCUUUGACGGGUAGCCGGCCUGAGAGGGUGACCGGCCACAUGGGGACUGCGAUACGGCCCAGACUCCUACGGGAGGCAGCAGUGGGGAAUAUGGCACAAUGGGCGGAAGCCUGAUGCAGCAACGCCGCGUGCGGGAUGACGGCCUUCGGGUUGUAAACCGCUUUCGCCUGUGACGAAGCGUGAGUGACGGUAAUGGGUAAAGAAGCACCGGCUAACUACGUG